This 496-nucleotide ribosomal RNA is filed under the name uncultured bacterium. RNAcentral's name for it is "partial 16S ribosomal RNA". It matches the Rfam family "Bacterial small subunit ribosomal RNA", at positions 28 to 507 of the family's 1533-position model. The record is from RNAcentral.
GAUGAACGCUGGCGGCGUGCCUAAUACAUGCAAGUCGAGCGAACAGAUGAGGAGCUUGCUCCUCUGACGUUAGCGGCGGACGGGUGAGUAACACGUGGAUAACCUACCUAUAAGACUGGGAUAACUUCGGGAAACCGGAGCUAAUACCGGAUAAUAUAUUGAACCGCAUGGUUCAAUAGUGAAAGACGGUUUUGCUGUCACUUAUAGAUGGAUCCGCGCCGCAUUAGCUAGUUGGUAAGGUAACGGCUUACCAAGGCGACGAUGCGUAGCCGACCUGAGAGGGUGAUCGGCCACACUGGAACUGAGACACGGUCCAGACUCCUACGGGAGGCAGCAGUAGGGAAUCUUCCGCAAUGGCGAAAGCCUGACGGAGCAACGCCGCGUGAGUGAUGAAGGUCUUCGGAUCGUAAAACUCUGUUAUUAGGGAAGAACAAAUGUGUAAGUAACUAUGCACGUCUUGACGGUACCUAAUCAGAAAGCCACGGCUAACUACGUG